RNAcentral lists this ribosomal RNA (198 nucleotides) under uncultured bacterium. RNAcentral's name for it is "partial 16S ribosomal RNA". It matches the Rfam family "Bacterial small subunit ribosomal RNA", at positions 328 to 539 of the family's 1533-position model. The record is from RNAcentral.
ACGCUCGACACCUACGGGAGGCAGCAGUGGGGAAUAUUGCACAAUGGGGGAAACCCUGAUGCAGCAACGCCGCGUGAAGGAAGACGGUUUUCGGAUUGUAAACUUCUGUUCUUAGUGAAGAUAGUGACGGUAGCUAAGGAGCAAGCCACGGCUAACUACGUGCCGGCAGCCGCGGUAAUCUGAGGCGGCUGGCAAGGC